CGAAGGAUGCAAGCGUUAUCCGGAUUCAUUGGGUUUAAAGGGUGCGUAGGCGGUCCUGUAAGUCAGUGGUGAAAGCUCUCAGCUUAACUGAGAAACUGCCAUUGAUACUGCAAGACUUGAGUACAGAUGAUGUUGGCGGAAUAUGACAUGUAGCGGUGAAAUGCAUAGAUAUGUCAUAGAACACCGAUUGCGAAGGCAGCUGACAAAACUGUAACUGACGCUGAGGCACGAAAGUGUGGGGAUCAAACAGG
Molecule: ribosomal RNA, 251 nt
Filed under: uncultured bacterium
Lineage: Bacteria
Description: partial 16S ribosomal RNA
Rfam family: Bacterial small subunit ribosomal RNA
Source: RNAcentral